UACGUAGGGGACAAGCGUUGUCCGGAAUUAUUGGGCGUAAAGGGCGCGUAGGCGGCCGCUUGAGUCCCUGCGUGAAAUCUCCCGGCUCAACCGGGAGGGUGCGCGGGAUACUGGGCGGCUUGAGGACAUCAGAGGAGAGCGGAAUCCCCGGUGUAGUGGUGAAAUGCGUAGAUAUCUGGAGGAACACCGGUGGCGAAGGCGGCAUCCUGGACCAAUACUGACGCUGAGGAGCGAAAGCCAGGGGAGCAAACAGG
Molecule: ribosomal RNA, 254 nt
Filed under: uncultured bacterium
Lineage: Bacteria
Description: partial 16S ribosomal RNA
Rfam family: Bacterial small subunit ribosomal RNA
Source: RNAcentral